RNAcentral lists this long non-coding RNA (257 nucleotides) under Cyanistes caeruleus (blue tit). RNAcentral's name for it is "lncRNA (ENSCCEG00000008863.1)". The record is from RNAcentral. Lineage: Eukaryota; Metazoa; Chordata; Aves; Passeriformes; Paridae.
AAAUAUCUAGAGCUGCCAGGAUUCUGCAGAACUUAGUCUGGUUCUGCUGAGAAGGUGGAAGAGGUCCUGCAAAGCAUGGGAUGGAUAUGCACAAAAAAUCUCCAUGGCAUCAAAGCUGUUUGUCCUGUGAAUUUCAGGGAUUCUGCCAUUUUUUAAGAGUGCUGUAGUUCUACUGAAUGCUGAUGAGUCCACACCAAGCCCAAGCCCUGCCACUCACUAUUGACCAGCGAAGUUGGCACCAUAUCAGCAUUUAAUAC